GAUGAACGCUGGCGGCGUGCUUAACACAUGCAAGUCGAACGAGAAGUGGAGACGGAAACCUUCGGGCGGAAGACUUUAUUUCGAGUGGCGGACGGGUGAGUAACGCGUGGGUAACCUGCCUCAUACAGGGGGAUAACAGUUGGAAACGACUGUUAAUACCGCAUAAGACCACAGCACCGCAUGGUGCGGGGGUAAAAACUCCGGUGGUAUGAGAUGGACCCGCGUUCGAUUAGCCAGUUGGCGGGGUAACGGCCCACCAAAGCGACGAUCGAUAGCCGAUCUGAGAGGAUGACCGGCCACAUUGGGACUGAGACACGGCCCAAACUCCUACGGGAGGCAGCAGUGGGGAAUAUUGAACAAUGGGGGAAACCCUGAUGCAGCGACGCCGCGUGAGUGAAGAAGUAUUUCGGUAUGUAAAGCUCUAUCAGCAGGGAAGAAAAUGACGGUACCUGAGUAAGAAGCCCCGGCUAACUACGUG
RNAcentral lists this ribosomal RNA (478 nucleotides) under uncultured bacterium. RNAcentral describes it as "partial 16S ribosomal RNA". It matches the Rfam family "Bacterial small subunit ribosomal RNA", at positions 28 to 507 of the family's 1533-position model. The record is from RNAcentral.